AUCACGCAUUCUCCAUUCCCAUCUCCUUCGCUGCUUUCCUUCUCAGCCACUUCUGCUUUUCAUUUUUUUCAUUCGACGAAGUUCGGUCUCCCUCAAAUUCUCUCUCUCUCUCUCUCCUCCGUGUAUUUCCCUCACGCCAGCAUCCCCAUCCCACCGUAAACCCCCAUUUCUUUCUCCACCUCACGCCCACGCAUCCGAGUCUCCAUCCUCCUCAGUCAACUCCAGCGCAUCUUGAAGACCAUCGACUUCUCCAUCGAGUUUUGUCGGCCACAGAAUCCAUCCACCACUGCAGCAACCGAUCAGCACUUCGGCCUCAAGAAGUUGACUCCGUUCCUCUCACCCGUGGCCACGUCUCGCCUCAAAUCGAAGACCAACCCUGCUCCACUGCUGAGUCUUCAUUUCCUUCGGUCUUCACGUCUGCCGCUUCAUUGGUUCCUUCGCUGUUGGUGUCUCCAUCUUACUGCGUGAGACCGACCGAAGCAGCACACGCCCGCGCAGCAACUCCACGCGGCCAACGUUCAGCUGUUCCUCGAGUCUUCCGUGUGUGCAGCCAACCGAAGCUUUUUCCGCUCGCCGAAGCAAGAUGCCAGCGAGCCGUUUCUCCAUCCAGCUCGGCCCAGAAACAGUCCACGAAAAUUUCAGCUCCUUCUUGGGUUCUUGUUCGGCCCAGCUCCUCCAACACAAGCCCAUCAGCCCACACGAAUCAAAAGCUAGUCCAUUUUCUGCCGCAGCCCAUCCACGAAGACAGCCCAAGUGAAAUUUAGAUUAUUUCAGCCCAAGAAAAAUUGCAGCAGCCCAAGUCUUUGGCCCAUCAACUCCAGCAGCCCACUUGAAGCCCAAGAAGCAGGCCCAAGCCCAAGUCUAAGCCCAGAAAUUUCUGUGGGUUGCAAGAUUUUGGGCCCAGUCCGAGUAUCCACCGACGCCGCCGAAAAGUUGGAUUUCGGCCGCCGUCGCGGUGAUCCAGUCUCCACUUUUAAUCAAAUAAUUGCCAGGUGGGGCCAUGAUGCCACCAAGUCGAGAAAAUUGCCAGGUUAGGCUGUGAUGCCAUCAAGUCAAGAAAAUUGCCAAGUGGGGCCGUGAUGCCACCAAGUCGAGAAAAUUGCCAGGUCCUUAGACAAUGUUCAUGGAGGACUUGAAGUCCUGGAGUUUGGGGAAGCGAAGGAAGCAGAAUCGGCAAAUCUGUUUGACUCGCUAGUCAUAGGACAGUACCUUUUUGAUUAAGCCGAUAAUUUUGUAAGCGACCUGAUGAUGUAAAUAAACUUAUGUGUUUAUAAAAAGUUGGUUUUGGUUUGAAAAA
Long non-coding RNA from Eucalyptus grandis, 1297 nucleotides. RefSeq lists it as uncharacterized. The transcript is spliced from 3 exons. The record is from RefSeq and is a predicted model, not a curated record. NCBI's taxonomy places the organism in Eukaryota, Viridiplantae, Streptophyta, Magnoliopsida, Myrtales, Myrtaceae.